AUGGACUUUGUGCAGUGUCUGAUCGCGGUGACUGGAGCUGUAACUACCCCUCCCAGUCUUUACGCCCUGCUGCCAUACUGUGGACAAUCCUCUUCUGGAGGCUCAGUGACUGUUGGGUGUCUGGCCUCCAGCUACAGCCCCGAUCCCGCCAUCUUCACCUGGACAUCAAAUGAACAUCUCAUCACUGACCAAGUCAAGACGUAUCCCUCAGUGCUCAACAAGAAUGGUCUCUACACUCUGAGCAGCCAGUUAACAAUCGCUGAAUCCCAGCUGGACAACAUCCAUUGUAAGGUUGCACAUAAAAGCAACACAUGGCCACCCGUGGAGAUCCCCAUGCCAGUUCCCCAGAAACCGUUGCCCCCAGUUGUUAUCAUCACACAGUUUUCCCCGGAGGACAUUGCAAUGCGCAAACCGACCACUGCUAUCUGCUUCGUAUACGGUUUCCGUCCGGACAGUCUCAGGGUUGAGUGGCUGAAGGACUGGCAGCCCAUACACUCAGGUGUUGUGACCUCUCCCUCGGUUGAAAACAAUGGGACAUUCAGCACCAGCAGCCGUCUGACUGGCACCGCCAGAGAGGGGAAGAGAGACUCGGUUUACACCUGCAAGGUGACCCAUCAGCCCACCCACACCAUCACUGUCAAGAACAUCACCAAUUGCCAAGGUAGGAGGUACAGCACCAGCUGAUACACACGCCAACAA
This is a non-coding RNA of Callorhinchus milii (elephant shark), 699 nucleotides long. The record is from the annotation of a RefSeq genome assembly. NCBI's taxonomy places the organism in Eukaryota, Metazoa, Chordata, Chondrichthyes, Chimaeriformes, Callorhinchidae.